RNAcentral lists this ribosomal RNA (253 nucleotides) under uncultured bacterium. RNAcentral describes it as "partial 16S ribosomal RNA". It matches the Rfam family "Bacterial small subunit ribosomal RNA", at positions 524 to 776 of the family's 1533-position model. The record is from RNAcentral.
UACGUAGGGGGCAAGCGUUGUCCGGAAUCACUGGGCGUAAAGCGCACGUAGGCGGAUGUGUCAGUCAGGGGUGAAAUCCCGGAGCUCAACUUCGGAACUGCCUUUGAUACAGCACGUCUUGAGUCCGAUAGAGGUGGGUGGAAUUCCUAGUGUAGAGGUGAAAUGCGUAGAUAUCGGGAGGAACACCUGUGGCGAAGGCGGCCCCCUGGUUGGAUACUGACGCUGAGACGCGAAAGCGUGGGGAGCAAACAGG